GACGAACGCUGGCGGCGUGCCUAAUACAUGCAAGUAGAACGCACAGUUUAUACCGUAGCUUGCUACACCAUAGACUGUGAGUUGCGAACGGGUGAGUAACGCGUAGGUAACCUGCCUGGUAGCGGGGGAUAACUAUUGGAAACGAUAGCUAAUACCGCAUAAUAUUAAUUAUUGCAUGAUAAUUAAUUGAAAGGUGCAAUUGCACCACUACCAGAUGGACCUGCGUUGUAUUAGUUAGUAGGUGAGGUAACGGCUCACCUAGGCGACGAUACAUAGCCGACCUGAGAGGGUGAUCGGCCACACUGGGACUGAGACACGGCCCAGACUCCUACGGGAGGCAGCAGUAGGGAAUCUUCGGCAAUGGACGAAAGUCUGACCGAACAACGCCGCGUGAGUGAAGAAGGUUGUCGGAUCGUAAAGCUCUGUUGUAAGAGAAGAACGGGUGUGAGAGUGGAAAGUUCACACUGUGACGGUAUCUUACCAGAAAGGGACGGCUAACUACGUG
RNAcentral lists this ribosomal RNA (505 nucleotides) under uncultured bacterium. RNAcentral's name for it is "partial 16S ribosomal RNA". It matches the Rfam family "Bacterial small subunit ribosomal RNA", at positions 28 to 507 of the family's 1533-position model. The record is from RNAcentral.